Molecule: long non-coding RNA, 394 nt
Filed under: Nicotiana benthamiana
Lineage: Eukaryota; Viridiplantae; Streptophyta; Magnoliopsida; Solanales; Solanaceae
Description: long non-coding RNA (NBEN_LNC002124)
Source: RNAcentral
GAAGAAAUGGUAAUGAACUGGAAACCUAAUAAGAGUGGAUAGAUGUGGUGCUUUUGAACACAUAAGGAUGAUUCUGUAUUUUAUAAAGGAACACAUUCUUUUCUGGCUGCCAUCUGUUGUGGGGAGAACAACAUUUCUUUGGUGGGGCCGUGGGGAAGACGUAUCCUAGGGACUAGGCACAUUUACCAUGUUCUACAGUAGGGGUAUAUGGGCUCUCCAUGUCACGGCUGUUUCUACUGUGAUAUCCCAGAAUUAUUCGUUUGAUAAGCCAUUAUAUGUAGGUGUAAGUGGUCAUGUGGUGCACUAUCUUUGGUUCCAGGAAUGGGAAAGGGAGGGGACGGUUUACUUCACUUAGGUUAAGUAUUAAUGAUAUAAAAAUAAGAGAGAGAAGCAA